This is a non-coding RNA of Canis lupus familiaris (dog), 46 nucleotides long. The record is from Rfam. Lineage: Eukaryota; Metazoa; Chordata; Mammalia; Carnivora; Canidae.
UCAAAGGCCCUUUUUAGGGCCGCCCACAUUUUCUUAAACCGGGCUG